This 490-nucleotide ribosomal RNA is filed under the name uncultured bacterium. RNAcentral's name for it is "partial 16S ribosomal RNA". It matches the Rfam family "Bacterial small subunit ribosomal RNA", at positions 30 to 507 of the family's 1533-position model. The record is from RNAcentral.
AUUGAACGCUGGCGGCAGGCCUAACACAUGCAAGUCGAACGGUAACAGAAAGCAGCUUGCUGCUUUGCUGACGAGUGGCGGACGGGUGAGUAAUGUCUGGGAAACUGCCUGAUGGAGGGGGAUAACUACUGGAAACGGUAGCUAAUACCGCAUAACGUCGCAAGCCCAAAGAGGGGGACCUUCGGGCCUCUUGCCAUCGGAUGUGCCCAGAUGGGAUUAGCUAGUAGGUGGGGUAACGGCUCACCUAGGCGACGAUCCCUAGCUGGUCUGAGAGGAUGACCAGCCACACGGGAACAGUGACACGGUCCAGACUCCUACGGGAUGCAGCAGUGACGAAUAUUGCACAAUAGGCGCAAGCCUGAUGCAGCCAUGCCGCGUGUAUGAAGAAGGCCUUCGGGUUGUAAAGUACUUUCAGCGGGGAGGAAGGGAGUAAAGUUAAUACCUUGGCUAAUUGACGUUACCCGCAGAAGAAGCACCGGCUAACUCCGUG